GGCCUGUUAGCUCAGUUGGUUAAAGCAUGGUGCUAAUAACGCCAAGGUCGUGGAUUCGAUCCCCCCACGGGCCA
Molecule: transfer RNA, 74 nt
Filed under: Blattella germanica (German cockroach)
Lineage: Eukaryota; Metazoa; Arthropoda; Insecta; Blattodea; Blattellidae
Description: tRNA-Ile (AAT) (tRNA-Ile-AAT-24-1)
Rfam family: tRNA
About the family: Transfer RNA (tRNA) molecules are approximately 80 nucleotides in length. Their secondary structure includes four short double-helical elements and three loops (D, anti-codon, and T loops).
Source: RNAcentral